CUUUUACGGGGUGCAGCAGGCGCGAAACCUUUCCACUGCACGACAGUGCGAUAGGGGGAUCCCAAGUGCACAGGCAUAGCGCCUGUGCUUUUCGGUACCGUAAGGCGGUACCAGAAUAAGGGCUGGGCAAGACCGGUGCCAGCCGCCGCGGUAAUACCGGCAGCCCAAGUGAUGGCCGAUCUUAUUGGGCCUAAAGCGUCCGUAGCUGGCCACGCAAGUCCAUCGGGAAAUCCACCUGCCCAACAGGUGGGCGCCCGGUAGAAACUGCGUGGCUUGGGACCGGAAGGCGCGACGGGUACGUCCGGGGUAGGAGUGAAAUCCCGUAAUCCUGGACGGACCGCCGAUGGCGAAAGCACGUCGCGAGAACGGAUCCGACAGUGAGGGACGAAAGCCAGGGUCUCGAACCGGAUUAGAUACCCGGGUAGUCCUGGCCGUAAACAAUGUCUGCUAGGUGUGGCUCCCACUACGAGUGGGUGCUGUGCCGCAGGGAAGCCGCUAAACAGACCGCCUGGGAAGUACGUCCGCAAGGAUGAAACUUAAAGGAAUUGGCGGGGGAGCAA
This 560-nucleotide ribosomal RNA is filed under the name uncultured archaeon. RNAcentral describes it as "bacterial SSU rRNA". It matches the Rfam family "Archaeal small subunit ribosomal RNA", at positions 321 to 879 of the family's 1478-position model. The record is from RNAcentral. RNAcentral also lists the same sequence under 1 other name.